CAAACGGCCCUUUUCAGGGCUACACAUGUACACCACGUCUGUAAC
Non-coding RNA from Acromyrmex echinatior (Panamanian leafcutter ant), 45 nucleotides. The record is from Rfam. Lineage: Eukaryota; Metazoa; Arthropoda; Insecta; Hymenoptera; Formicidae.